RNAcentral lists this ribosomal RNA (500 nucleotides) under uncultured bacterium. Its description in RNAcentral is "partial 16S ribosomal RNA". It matches the Rfam family "Bacterial small subunit ribosomal RNA", at positions 30 to 523 of the family's 1533-position model. The record is from RNAcentral.
AUUGAACGCUGGCGGCAUGUUUUACACAUGCAAGUCGAACGGCAGCGCGGGCUUCGGCCUGGCGGCGAGUGGCGAACGGGUGAGUAAUAUAUCGGAACGUACCCAAGAGUGGGGGAUAACGUAGCGAAAGUUACGCUAAUACCGCAUACGAUCUAAGGAUGAAAGCAGGGGAUCGCAAGACCUUGUGCUCCUGGAGCGGCCGAUAUCUGAUUAGCUAGUUGGUGAGGUAAAGGCUCACCAAGGCAACGAUCAGUAGCUGGUCUGAGAGGACGACCAGCCACACUGGAACUGAGACACGGUCCAGACUCCUAUGGGAGGCAGCAGUGGGGAAUUUUGGACAAUGGGGGCAACCCUGAUCCAGCAAUGCCGCGUGAGUGAAGAAGGCCUUCGGGUUGUAAAGCUCUUUUGUCAGGGAAGAAAAGGCUGUGGCUAAUAUCCACAGCUGCUGACGGUACCUGAAGAAUAAGCACCGGCUAACUACGUGCCAGCCGCCGCAGUAA